RNAcentral lists this microRNA (21 nucleotides) under Populus tomentosa. Its description in RNAcentral is "Pto-N32". The record is from RNAcentral. Lineage: Eukaryota; Viridiplantae; Streptophyta; Magnoliopsida; Malpighiales; Salicaceae.
UUUAGCGAUAACUUGGAGGUC